CGGACGGGUGAGUAAUGUCUGGGAAACUGCCUGAUGGAGGGGGAUAACUACUAGAAACGGUAGCUAAUACCGCAUAACGUCGCAAGACCAAAGAGGGGGACCUUAGGGCCUCUUGCCAUCGGAUGUGCCCAGAUGGGAUUAGCUAGUAGGUGGGGUAACGGCUCACCUAGGCGACGAUCCCUAGCUGGUCUGAGAGGAUGACCAGCCACACUGGAACUGAGACACGGUCCAG
RNAcentral lists this ribosomal RNA (232 nucleotides) under uncultured bacterium. RNAcentral's name for it is "partial 16S ribosomal RNA". It matches the Rfam family "Bacterial small subunit ribosomal RNA", at positions 99 to 334 of the family's 1533-position model. The record is from RNAcentral.